UAGGGGGCAAGCGUUAUCCGGAUUUACUGGGUGUAAAGGGAGCGUAGACGGCAUGGCAAGUCUGAUGUGAAAGGCGGAGGCUCAACUUCUGGAUUGCAUUGGAAACUGUCAGGCUGGAGUGCCGGAGAGGUAAGCGGAAUUCCUAGUGUAGCGGUGAAAUGCGUAGAUAUUAGGAGGAACACCAGUGGCGAAGGCGGCUUACUGGACGGUAACUGACGUUGAGGCUCGAAAGCGUGGGGAGC
This 242-nucleotide ribosomal RNA is filed under the name uncultured bacterium. Its description in RNAcentral is "partial 16S ribosomal RNA". It matches the Rfam family "Bacterial small subunit ribosomal RNA", at positions 528 to 769 of the family's 1533-position model. The record is from RNAcentral.